GAGUUUGAUCUUGGCUCAGAUUGAACGCUGGCGGCAUGCCUUACACAUGCAAGUCGAACGGCAGCAUGAUCUAGCUUGCUAGAUUGAUGGCGAGUGGCGAACGGGUGAGUAAUACAUCGGAACGUGCCCUGUAGUGGGGGAUAACUAGUCGAAAGAUUAGCUAAUACCGCAUACGACCUGAGGGUGAAAGUGGGGGACCGCAAGGCCUCAUGCUAUAGGAGCGGCCGAUGUCUGAUUAGCUAGUUGGUGGGGUAAAGGCCCACCAAGGCGACGAUCAGUAGCUGGUCUGAGAGGACGAUCAGCCACACUGGGACUGAGACACGGCCCAGACUCCUACGGGAGGCAGCAGUGGGGAAUUUUGGACAAUGGGCGAAAGCCUGAUCCAGCAAUGCCGCGUGUGUGAAGAAGGCCUC
This 413-nucleotide ribosomal RNA is filed under the name uncultured microorganism. RNAcentral describes it as "bacterial SSU rRNA". It matches the Rfam family "Bacterial small subunit ribosomal RNA", at positions 9 to 418 of the family's 1533-position model. The record is from RNAcentral.